UACGUAGAGUGCGAGCGUUGUCCGGAAUUAUUGGGCGUAAAGAGCUCGUAGGCGGUUUGUCGCGUCUGCCGUGAAAGUCCGGGGCUCAACUCCGGAUCUGCGGUGGGUACGGGCAGACUAGAGUGAUGUAGGGGAGACUGGAAUUCCUGGUGUAGCGGUGAAAUGCGCAGAUAUCAGGAGGAACACCGAUGGCGAAGGCAGGUCUCUGGGCAUUAACUGACGCUGAGGAGCGAAAGCAUGGGGAGCGAACAGG
This 253-nucleotide ribosomal RNA is filed under the name uncultured bacterium. Its description in RNAcentral is "partial 16S ribosomal RNA". It matches the Rfam family "Bacterial small subunit ribosomal RNA", at positions 524 to 776 of the family's 1533-position model. The record is from RNAcentral.